This 301-nucleotide ribosomal RNA is filed under the name uncultured bacterium. Its description in RNAcentral is "partial 16S ribosomal RNA". It matches the Rfam family "Bacterial small subunit ribosomal RNA", at positions 509 to 808 of the family's 1533-position model. The record is from RNAcentral.
CAGCAGCCGCGGUAAUACGUAGGUGGCAAGCGUUGUCCGGAAUUAUUGGGCGUAAAGGGCUCGCAGGCGGUUUCUUAAGUCUGAUGUGAAAGCCCCCGGCUCAACCGGGGAGGGUCAUUGGAAACUGGGAAACUUGAGUGCAGAAGAGGAGAGUGGAAUUCCACGUGUAGCGGUGAAAUGCGUAGAGAUGUGGAGGAACACCAGUGGCGAAGGCGACUCUCUGGUCUGUAACUGACGCUGAGGAGCGAAAGCGUGGGGAGCGAACAGGAUUAGAUACCCGGGUGUCCCUGUCUCUUAUACA